CCGCAGACGCAGCCCGCGCCGCGCCCGCCUCCGGCCCUCAGAAGACCGCUCGCCUCGCCGCCGAAGCCGCGCCUGCCCCAGGCCUGCCCCGCCGGGCCGUGGUUAAACCAGGCGGGCUGCACGCGCAGUGCGGGGCGCCCCGUUUCCCAACGACCAGGCUAGAACGCCGCCCGGAACGCAGCCUCAGGCGGCUCCGGAGGCAGCCCGGGGUCCUGAUAAACGCGAGCGCAGCCCGGCAGUGGCGCGGGCAGCACGUCGGGGUCCUGAGUCGGAAUCGGCGCGCUGCCUGGCGCCGCUCGCCCUUCGGUGUAAUGGGUGCGCCACCCUGAGUUGUUUCUUCGCUGCUGGAGAGGGAGAACCGGCUCCUGGGCCACCCAGACUGUGUGCCAUCCCGAAGCCAGCAGAGCUGGGGCCAUACUCCUUGACUGGUAGGGGCUGAGGGUGAAUACGGCGGCCAAGUCCAGAAAGCCUAGCUCUGCCUACUGUUAAUGGAGAUUUUCCUCUGGAAUACAGGCAGAAUGCCUAUACCAUUUUGACGGAUAACGCGAAAGCCUGCCUAGCACUGGGAUUAAAGAUGUGAGCCACCCUGCCAGGCUCCUGAUUGUAA
This 607-nucleotide long non-coding RNA is filed under the name Mus pahari (shrew mouse). RNAcentral describes it as "lncRNA (MGP_PahariEiJ_G0003144.1)". The record is from RNAcentral. Lineage: Eukaryota; Metazoa; Chordata; Mammalia; Rodentia; Muridae.